CCUUUGGCCGUGGAAAAGUCUGACUGGGUUUCUCAUGCUAAGGAAUCUCUUGCCAAAGAACCUGACCUGAGGCUUGCUGAUGCACAAAUGCUGACACGUGCCACCUCCCCAUCCUGCUUAGUCUACAAGUCAAACCUGCUGCCUCUGUUUGCCCAGGUUUCGCCAUCGCUUUUAUGAUUGUGAAUCUUCAGAGAGCGGUUCAUUGGCCUGCAAAAUAAUAUUGUUCAACAGCUCCAGCGUGGGACAGCUGGGCGUGGUGAAAGCCACUAGAAACACGUCUUCUUUCUUGUCCUUCCUUGUACAACUUGUCAUUUAACAGACCUCAGGCUCGGAUUUGCAGAACGUUGCAUGGAAUUUGCAGAUGGAGAAGAUGAGCACUGCUUUGUUUGCUGCACAGAGAGUUGUGUCUCUGUCAGCUUAUAGGAGCUUGUGCAACCCUGCCUCUGUGUGCAAGCAGCUUGUCUGAUCACCCAGAGGAGAUGGAAGACAGGCAUUUCUGGAGAGAGCCCAGCCAGGGUAAGAGAGACAGCUGUCACCCACCCAGCUGCACUCUGCUUUAAUUCCACCCUCACUGCACACAGCCGUGCUGCUGGUAUUAUAGCAAAUGGCACUGGGCAACGUAAAGGAAAAUAAGGACAAAACAGAAAUCAUGUUAAGCCGUCCUGAACUUCUUCAAUGUGAGCAAUCCAGGGACUUGGAACAACCUUCUGCGGGACGUCUUGACAUCUCCGGUGUGGAAAUCCAGGUGGUGCUCCUGGGCUGGUGCUAAGCUGCUGGUUGGAGCAGGCCCUGGUGCCAGGCUGAGAUGCGGUGCAUCCGACCUGCUUAGAAAGCCCAUCAAACCUGUAAUAGAGCCACCUUCUUCUGCUCUGUUUUGGCAAGUGCUACAGAUUCAUGUAUGGUAAAUCUAGUAGUGAAGAACUGCAUGAACUUUUCUCUUCAAGUCAAGUGCUAUGCAAGUUCCAUUCAGGUAAAGUCUCUUCAUUUUACUGGGAGUACUGAGGACACCAUAUAUAAUUUUUUAAUGCUCAAAAUGGAGGCCAGCAGCCACACAGACCAGAGAAUGUGAAAUUGGAGUGUGAAAGCAAAGACACUAACCACAUGAAAUGUAAUAUGCACUUCCAUCUGUACUGGAAAAGGGAGUAGAGAUCAGCAAUUUCAUUGCACACCCCAUCAGCACACAGUCCUCACACGGUAAACCACUGAUUUCAGUCAUUUGUCACAUCAAAAGGAGAGGACACUAACAAAGAAAGUUCUGCAUUAGGAUCAGGCCUUUUUCAGUCCCUUCAUAUAGUGAUGGAUGACCACAGUAUUUUGCAUGGCUCUUUGAGAAGUCUGUACGAGUGUUUAAUGUGUCUUGGAGGCUGUAACACAACAGAAAGCAUGACAAUGACAGCAAAGCAGCAAGGUUCUAGGCUGCAACAAGUGAGGAAUUGCUGAAACUCAACAGCCACGGGCACAGAAAUAAAGGAAAGAAGCUGCUUACUUUCAGAAGGCAUCAGGUAUGCCGGGAUCUCCAGCAAGAUGCCCUCACCUCCACUGCCAACCCUUAAAUGAGGUCU
This is a long non-coding RNA of Lagopus leucura (white-tailed ptarmigan), 1562 nucleotides long. RefSeq lists it as uncharacterized. The record is from RefSeq and is a predicted model, not a curated record. The transcript has 3 exons. NCBI's taxonomy places the organism in Eukaryota, Metazoa, Chordata, Aves, Galliformes, Phasianidae.